Molecule: long non-coding RNA, 2603 nt
Organism: Pygocentrus nattereri (red-bellied piranha)
Lineage: Eukaryota; Metazoa; Chordata; Actinopteri; Characiformes; Serrasalmidae
Exons: 3
Source: RefSeq, a predicted model, not a curated record
GUAAAAACGGCUCCUUUGUCGGCGUUUUCGGGGAACUUUUAAACCGGCAUCUCCGGGGGGGGGGGUGGUGGUGGUGAGGGGUGUGGUGAGGUGGACUGCGGUGCUGUUUGUUUGCGGCGCGUCUCCUCGGAGCUGCCCGGAGAGAGAGCCUCGUCUCGUUCCUCAGCUCAGCGCUGCGCUGGGGUGUCACGGAUGAGGCGGGGAGGAGGAGUCCCUUCGCCUGAGGGACAACAUGAGCGAGGCGGACUGACGGCAGACAAACACAGCCACAAACCCACUGCCACCAUUCCACUGAGGAAUAACGAGGGAUGAGCCGAGGAAGGCGCGCGGCUUUCCUUAUUCCAUGCGGAGGUGUGUGUGUGUUUUUUUUUUUUUCUUCACUCCGUGUGGGAGAAGGUGAGGCCAAUGGCAGCCGACGGUGGAAAACGCAAGCGUGGAUUCGGCUGCGAGCGGAGGCAGAGCAACGCGAUUGGUCCUGUUUCGGAAAAGGGGCGUGGUCAAACGGUGUGAAACUCCGCCUCUAACCUUGACAUAAUUCAAUUAAUAAAGGUAGCUGGCGGAUGAGAGAGAGAGAGAGAGAGAGAGCUGUUAGUAGACUGAUCAGCAAGCGAAAGGAAAACAGUAUGCAAGUAUAAUCAUACGAUGAUACUUUGAAGAUGACGCAUAAAACAUCAAUAACGAUGACUGCAAUGAAAUUCGAUGAUGAUGCAUUUGUGUUAUUGUUUUGAUAUCUAUUCAUUUCAUCUGUCUAGCGCUUAGUUGGUCGAUUAUCAACAUUACACUCUCUAAGCAUCGCCAGCUGACGGUUAUAGUCUCUGAGCUGGAGCCUCAUCGUGAAAAGCGGACUGUUAUUGCCCGUAGGAGCCCAGGCCCGUCAUUAAGUAAUCUAUCCCCUCCCAGAUUCUCUGAAUUGCAGGAGGGAGAGAGAGAAUAGAAGCGCCUUCAAUCACACCUGAAUCACACGUGGUCCAAUAACCUCACAGUGACUUAAUCGCCGCUUUAUAGUCUCAGUCCUGGUUUUGAGAGGCUCCGCUCUGCAGGACUCCGGCCUGGGUUUGUCGCUCAGAGCUCCUCUUCUUUGCACUUGUUGCGUGGUGAGGGGUGCUGGUGAGGAGGUGGAUCUCCUCGGCGCCCCGCAGCGGAGCUGAGGCACAGCGCCGUAUGUGGAGGAGCACCAUAUUCAGCCAAAGACUGCCGCUCUGCUGCCCUGCUGCCCGGAGAGCAGCGACCGGCCUGCGCGGUGUUAACUCACUUAACAGAGGUGGCAGGCCAGACAUCCCCCUCCACCCCAGGGCAGGGUCAAGGCCUACACCCGUCCAGCACCCACCCCCAACCCCCCAACCAAGAUUUGGGGAUUUGGAGACCUCUCUGGUGGAAGUUUGUAAUCGCAUGCAAUGUGCAGAAGAACACUUUAUAAUGCUGGUUAUGCUUUGAACCCCAAGAGCGGAUAUGAGAACUCAAAAUUUGGCGAGGGACGUGUCUUCCAGAGACGUCACUGAAUAACCUACUAUAGUCAUCAAGAAUAAUAUUGAUCGUAUUUGCAUUUCAGACACAUCAAGCUGAACUUUCUUUUUGAGCCCGAAUGUUUGACUUUAAUAAAUAAAAAUGUAUGACAUGGUCCGAAAAACUCCAGCGAAAUCCAAUCUGACACCUCUGACUUUCAAAUUAGUAUGUCAGGCUUUACAGGGUGACUCAUAUUUUAGCAUGUUUUUUUUCUGUCUCAGUAGUAAAAUCAGCUACUUCUUUCAGUUUUAACAAAGCAAAGAAAGUCUUCUGUAGUGCUUCUUUAACUUCUGCGGUAUUAUUACACUAUUAUUACAGUUAUAUCACCAGCCCCUGCUCUGAGCAAUGGUCUCAGCAUUUCAUAUUUAGCUUCAUUUUUCAUUGCUCAGAUACUCACUAGGGAUUUGUCUCUUCAGCUCUUUUGAGGAACGGCAUGGUGGAUCCCAUUAUUUUGAGUCCGAUAUGAUCAGCAACUAUCCACAUUUAUUGCAUGAUCUCAGAACAUCUCUCUCCACUGUAACGCCACACCCCUUUAAUGUGUGAACAUUAAAAUUCUUCCACAAGGCCAGACCAAACAUCCUCUCGCAGAUAUCACGCUAGACUAAGAUUGCACUGUUCUCUGCCAUGGUUUAUGUUGUUCAUUUUUCAUGUCUGAUGGCUGCUCUGGAUUCUUGGUGGAACUCCUUGUUGAGGAAAAGAAGGCCCAGUGUUUUGAGACUAUUGUUCUCCAGCGCUCCAGUUUGAACUUUUACAGUCAAGGGCUUUUAAAAGUGGAGAAAUCUCGUGCUUAAUUUGAAGAAACACUUCUUACGGUUCAAAAGACUCGAGUCACUGUUUUCAUUAAUAUAAAACCAGUCAGCGUGCAGAGACAUGUAUAAAAUCUCUGCUAAUAAUCUAAGUUAUAAACUGUUUGUAGAAAGCUGUAUAAAUCAAUACAUUUGAAGAUUAGUGGUAGAUGGUUCCAUAAUAAUUGAAAAAUUGAAAAACAGUGACCAUAUUUUGCUGAUGAAAUAUCUAUUAAUAGUAUUUUGUGACAACAAAAUUCUGUAAGUAGAUGUUCCCAAAAUAGUUUAAAUUGGGAAUAAACCAUGUUUAUUUUG